CCUACGGGUGGCUGCAGUGGGGAAUAUUGGACAAUGGGCGAAAGCCUGAUCCAGCCAUGCCGCGUGUGUGAAGAAGGCCUUCGGGUUGUAAAGCACUUUCAGUGGGGAAGAAAGCCUUGGGGCUAAUACCCUCGAGGAAGGACAUCACCCACAGAAGAAGCACCGGCUAACUCCGUGCCAGUAGCCGCGGUAAUACGGAGGGUGCGAGCGUUAAUCGGAAUUACUGGGCGUAAAGCGCGCGUAGGCGGUCUGAUAAGCCGGUUGUGAAAGCCCCGGGCUCAACCUGGGAACGGCAUCCGGAACUGUCAGGCUAGAGUGCAGGAGAGGAAGGUAGAAGUCCCGGUGUAGCGGUGAAAUGCGUAGAGAUCGGGAGGAAUACCAGUGGCGAAGGCGGCCUUCUGGACUGACACUGACGCUGAGGUGCGAAAGCGUGGGUAGCAAACAGGAUUAGAUACCCGAGUAGUC
Molecule: ribosomal RNA, 465 nt
Filed under: Vreelandella stevensii
Lineage: Bacteria; Pseudomonadati; Pseudomonadota; Gammaproteobacteria; Oceanospirillales; Halomonadaceae
Description: partial 16S ribosomal RNA
Rfam family: Bacterial small subunit ribosomal RNA
Source: RNAcentral